This 801-nucleotide ribosomal RNA is filed under the name uncultured Pelagibacteraceae bacterium. Its description in RNAcentral is "bacterial SSU rRNA". It matches the Rfam family "Bacterial small subunit ribosomal RNA", at positions 35 to 884 of the family's 1533-position model. Lineage: Bacteria; Pseudomonadati; Pseudomonadota; Alphaproteobacteria; Candidatus Pelagibacterales; Candidatus Pelagibacteraceae. The record is from RNAcentral.
GCUGGCGGCACGCCUAACACAUGCAAGUCGAACGAAGUAGCAAUACUUAGUGGCAGACGGGUGAGUAACAUGUAGGUAUCUACCCUUUGGCCUGGAAUAACACGAGGAAACUUGUGCUAAUACUGGAUAAGUCUUUACGGAGAAAGCUUUAUGCACCAAUGGAUGAGCCUGCACUUGAUUAGUUAGUUGGUAAGGUAAUGGCUUACCAAGACUUUGAUCAAUAGCUGAUUUGAGAGGAUGAUCAGCCACAUUGGGACUGAGACACGGCCCAAACUCCUACGGGAGGCAGCAGUGGGGAAUCUUGCACAAUGGAGGAAACUCUGAUGCAGCGAUGCCGCGUGAGUGAAGAAGGCCUUUGGGUUGUAAAGCUCUUUCGUCGGGGAAGAAAAUGACUGUACCCGAAUAAGAAGGUCCGGCUAACUUCGUGCCAGCAGCCGCGGUAAUACGAAGGGACCUAGCGUAGUUCGGAAUUACUGGGCUUAAAGAGUUCGUAGGUGGUUGAAAAAGUUGGUGGUGAAAUCCCAGAGCUUAACUCUGGAACUGCCAUCAAAACUUUUCAGCUAGAGUAUGAUAGAGGAAAGCAGAAUUUCUAGUGUAGAGGUGAAAUUCGUAGAUAUUAGAAAGAAUACCAAUUGCGAAGGCAGCUUUCUGGAUCAUUACUGACACUGAGGAACGAAAGCAUGGGUAGCGAAGAGGAUUAGAUACCCUCGUAGUCCAUGCCGUAAACGAUGUGUGUUAGACGUUGGAAAUUUAUUUUCAGUGUCGCAGUGAAAACGAUAAACACACCGCCUGGGGAGUACG